RNAcentral lists this ribosomal RNA (858 nucleotides) under uncultured archaeon. RNAcentral describes it as "bacterial SSU rRNA". It matches the Rfam family "Archaeal small subunit ribosomal RNA", at positions 474 to 1336 of the family's 1478-position model. The record is from RNAcentral.
CACCAGCGCCACAAGUGGGAACCACUUUUAUUGGGCUUAAAGCAUCCGUAGCCUGUUCGAUAAAUCUUCUGUGAAACUGUUAGACUUAAUUUAACAACGUGCAGAAGACACUGUUGAACUUGGAACUGGGAGGAGUUAGAGGUACUUCAAGGGGAGCGGUAAAAUGCUAUAAUCCUUGAAGGACCGCCAGUGGCGAAGGCGUCUAACUAGAACAGCUUCGACGGUGAGGGAUGAAAGCUAGGGGAGCAAACCGGAUUAGAUACCCGAGUAGUCCUAGCCGUAAACGCUGCGAGCUAGAUGUUGCACCUUCUAUGAGAAGAUGCAGCAUCGAAACGAAAGUGCUAAGCUCGCCGCCUGGGAAGUAUAGUCGCAAGACCGAAACUUAAAGAAAUUGGCGGGGGAGCGCUACAACGAGUGAGGCGUGCGGUUUAAUCUAAUUCCACGCAGAUAACCUCACCAGAGGCGACGGCAGAAUGAAGGUCAGUCUGAAGGGCUCACCUAACAAGCCGAGAGGUAUUGCAUGGCCGCCGUCAGCUAGUGUUGUGAAAUGUCCUGUUAAGUCAGGUAACUAGCGAGACCUAUAUCUACAAUUGCUAGCAAGCUAUGUGAUUGAGCACAUUGUAGAAACUGCCUGGGAAACCAGGAGGAAGGUGUAGGCAACGGUAGGUCUGUAUGGUCCGAAUCCUCUGGGCUACACGCGCGCAACAAUGGUAGGGACAAUGGGACGCGAUUCCGAAAGGAAAAGCUAAACCUCUAAAUCCUAUCUUAGUUCAGAUUGAGGCUUGUAACUCAGCCUCAUGACGCCGGAAUUCGUAGUAAUCAGGCUUAAGCAUAGCCCGGNGAAUAUGUCCCCGCUCC